This 253-nucleotide ribosomal RNA is filed under the name uncultured bacterium. RNAcentral's name for it is "partial 16S ribosomal RNA". It matches the Rfam family "Bacterial small subunit ribosomal RNA", at positions 524 to 776 of the family's 1533-position model. The record is from RNAcentral.
UACGGAGGGUGCAAGCGUUAUCCGGAUUCACUGGGUUUAAAGGGUGCGUAGGCGGACAGGUAAGUCAGUGGUGAAAUCCCCGGGCUCAACCCGGGAACUGCGUCCGAUACUGGAAGGCUUGAAUCCGGGAGAGGGAUGCGGAAUUCCAGGUGUAGCGGUGAAAUGCGUAGAUAUCUGGAGGAACACCGGUGGCGAAGGCGGCAUCCUGGACCGGCAUUGACGCUGAGGCGCGAAAGCCAGGGGAGCAAACGGG